Molecule: transfer RNA, 80 nt
Filed under: Eretmochelys imbricata (hawksbill sea turtle)
Lineage: Eukaryota; Metazoa; Chordata; Testudines; Cheloniidae
Description: tRNA-Trp
Rfam family: tRNA
About the family: Transfer RNA (tRNA) molecules are approximately 80 nucleotides in length.
Source: RNAcentral
AGAAACUUAGGAUAGAAUUCCUACUUAAACCAGAGGCCUUCAAAGCCCCAAUACAAGAGAUAAAACCUCUUAGUUUCUGC